Molecule: ribosomal RNA, 259 nt
Filed under: uncultured bacterium
Lineage: Bacteria
Description: partial 16S ribosomal RNA
Rfam family: Bacterial small subunit ribosomal RNA
Source: RNAcentral
GUCCACGCCCUAACGAUGGAUACUCGACAUACGCGAUACACAGUGUGUGUCUGAGCGAAAGCAUUAAGUAUCCCACCUGGGAAGUACGACCGCAAGGUUGAAACUCAAAGGAAUUGGCGGGGUCCGCACAAGCGGUGGAGCAUGUGGUUUAAUUCGAUGAUACGCGAGGAACCUUACCUGGGCUAGAAUGCUGGUGGACCGUGGGUGAAAGCUCACUUUGUAGCAAUACACCGCCAGUAAGGUGCUGCAUGGCUGUCGU